ACAGCAGCCGCCGCGGUAAUACGUAGGUGGCAAGCGUUGCCCGGAAUUAUUGGGCGUAAAGGGCUCGCAGGCGGUUUCUUAAGUCUGAUGUGAAAGCCCCCGGCUCAACCGGGGAGGGUCAUUGGAAACUGGGAAACUUGAGUGCAGAAGAGGAGAGUGGAAUUCCACGUGUAGCGGUGAAAUGCGUAGAGAUGUGGAGGAACACCAGUGGCGAAGGCGACUCUCUGGUCUGUAACUGACGCUCAUGCACGAAAGCGUGGGGAGCAAACAGGAUUAGAUACCCCGUAGUCCCUGUCUCUUAUACA
This 305-nucleotide ribosomal RNA is filed under the name uncultured bacterium. RNAcentral's name for it is "partial 16S ribosomal RNA". It matches the Rfam family "Bacterial small subunit ribosomal RNA", at positions 508 to 808 of the family's 1533-position model. The record is from RNAcentral.